This is a long non-coding RNA of Helianthus annuus (common sunflower), 1554 nucleotides long. RefSeq lists it as uncharacterized. The transcript has 6 exons. Lineage: Eukaryota; Viridiplantae; Streptophyta; Magnoliopsida; Asterales; Asteraceae. The record is from RefSeq and is a predicted model, not a curated record.
CCCCCUAACACACCGGCCUCCUUAUGCCUUCACUCUUCAAUUGCAGACGAAAGAUGAAGCGUCUGGACUUCCUGAACUUCCGGCGGUUUUCAUCGCCCCCUCUACUCUAUAAGAAAUAGGUAAUUAACGCAAAUAUCAAUCUUCAGAUUAUCCCUUGAUUCUGCUCUAAUCUCUUCAAGGAAGAUGAUCAUGAUAGCACCUACCACUCUUCAACUUUACCUAUAGGGAAAGAAAGAAAAGAUACUAUGACACAUGUGAUGAGCCCAAAAUUAGAAUGAACAAGGUUGUCAGGACUAACCUACGGGUCAGGCUCGGUAAUGUAGUAUCGGUUCACCAAUGUGCUGAUGUGAAAUAUGGCAAACGGGUUCACAUCCUUCCAGUUGAUGAUACCAUCGAAGGCGUCACCGGCAAUCUCUUUGACGCCUACUUAAAACCACACUUUUUGGAAGCAUACCGACCCGUUAGAAAAAGGCGACUUUUUCCUCGUGAGGGGAGGCAUGCGAUCUGUAGAGUUCAAAGUUGUCGAAACCGAUCCUGCAGAAUACCAAGAUUUUCUAUGAAGGCGAGUCCAUUAAACGGGAGGAUGAAGAUCGAUUAGACGAAAUCGGUUACGAUGACGUUGGUGGUGUCCGCAAACAAAUGGCCCAAAUCCGUGAGCUUGUCGAGCUUCCGUUAAGACAUCUACAGCUUUUCAAGUCAAUUGGGGUCAAACCACCGAAGGGUAAUCUUCUUUACGGGCCUCCCGGGUCGGGUUGAUAAAAUAAAACCGGGCGCACUGCCGCCAACUGUUGAGGGGCCUGUUAUUCUUGUGUCAACAAAGCCGAUGAUGACGAAGAGAUACCAGCUGCAGGGAACAAUAUAGUAGGAGUUACUAUGCUCCGGAGUUGCCUCAUUUAUCUCAUCUUGGUUUCAGGGGCCCGAUAACACAUCCAUAUUUCAAAUUUUGUAUUACAGAGAUGGACAAAUUUCUUGCAAAGUUUGCCACUACCAGAAUUCCAGUGACGAUGGUGGCUCUGUGAUGGUGAAUCAUGGCGGCAUCAUCUGCAAAUAUGUGUGGUAGACAGUGGCGAUCAAUGGGACCAUAAGAGGGUUGAAGCCGGUCUAACAACAACAGCAAUUGGCGGCUACACAGGUGUCAAGAGGCAGCUGAUCUGGUGGUAAUAGGUGGUUGAUCUGGCGGUAAUGUGAGAGUGUAAAAGGCUGCAUUUAGUGACUAAACGACAGCAAAGAACAUCGGUAUUGAGCUACUAAAAUAGUGCAGCGAACAGGACAGCAACGUCGUGCAUUUGGGCGCGCUUUUGGGAUCAAAACAUUUAGUGUUUGGGUUCAUAACCGGUUUUCGGGUUCGGGUUGUGUUCGGGUUUGUGUCAGAUUUUCAGGUUUGCGCCGUGUUGGGCCAGUAUGGUACGUUUGUUUUAAAAGCUGGUUGAAUAGCAGUCUCAAAUGGGUUUGGCUUAGUAAGGUAACUGUUGGUACAGGGAAUGUAAAGUGUUUAACCCAUUUUUUAUUUUUUUAUUAGUACUUGCUAAAACUGAAAUUAUUUUUUAUGAAUUU